AUUAUUAUAAAUCUAACUACCCUAGGAGAUUUUUUCAUAAUGAAACAAGAGAGAAGUGGAGACCAAGAUUAAAUACCACUAGGGAUAAUUAUAAUCACACAAAUAUAGGGAGGAAUUCAGAAGGAGAGAGAAGGAAUUAUAGGAAUAGGAAAGAUUUUCAGAAUUAUAGAGAACAGAGACCAUAUAGACAAUACCAGAGUAAUCAAGAAAGAAUCCCCACUUACAACAGAU
This is a non-coding RNA of Pelobates cultripes (western spadefoot toad), 231 nucleotides long. Lineage: Eukaryota; Metazoa; Chordata; Amphibia; Anura; Pelobatidae. The record is from the annotation of a GenBank genome assembly.